Molecule: transfer RNA, 77 nt
Filed under: Pseudomonadota bacterium
Lineage: Bacteria; Pseudomonadati; Pseudomonadota
Also listed under: 2 other names
Description: tRNA-Asp
Rfam family: tRNA
About the family: Transfer RNA (tRNA) molecules are approximately 80 nucleotides in length. Their secondary structure includes four short double-helical elements and three loops (D, anti-codon, and T loops).
Source: RNAcentral
GGCCCGGUGGUGUAGCGGCCUAACAUACCGCCCUGUCACGGCGGAGAUCGGGGGUUCGAAUCCCCUCCGGGUCGCCA